This 204-nucleotide ribosomal RNA is filed under the name uncultured bacterium. RNAcentral describes it as "partial 16S ribosomal RNA". It matches the Rfam family "Bacterial small subunit ribosomal RNA", at positions 524 to 726 of the family's 1533-position model. The record is from RNAcentral.
GACGUAGGGCGCGAGCGUUGUCCGGAUUUAUUGGGCGUAAAGAGCUCGUAGGCGGCUUGUCGCGUCGAAUGUGAAAACCCACGGCUCAACUGUGGGCUUGCAUUCGAUACGGGCAGGCGUAGAGUUCGGUAGGGGAGACUGGAAUUCCUGGUGUAGCGGUGAAAUGCGCAGAUAUCAGGAGGAACACCGGUGGCGAAGGCGGGU